GCUUUGAGAAGCUAAGAAAGCAUCGGUCUUGUAAACCGAAGACAAGAUAACCUCUCCAGAGCU
RNAcentral lists this transfer RNA (63 nucleotides) under Quadrula quadrula (mapleleaf mussel). Its description in RNAcentral is "tRNA-Thr". The record is from RNAcentral. Lineage: Eukaryota; Metazoa; Mollusca; Bivalvia; Unionida; Unionidae.